This 375-nucleotide unclassified non-coding RNA is filed under the name Zea mays. RNAcentral describes it as "misc RNA Zm00001eb014910". Lineage: Eukaryota; Viridiplantae; Streptophyta; Magnoliopsida; Poales; Poaceae. The record is from RNAcentral.
GCUCGGGUGUGGAGCAUGCGGCGGACGUCGGCGCGGACACUGUCCUCGACAUCGUGGAAAGCGCCAUGGUGCCAGUGCGGGUGCCCUGGGUCCCGGCGGAACGCCUCCCGCCGGGGGGCCGAGGACACGACCGCAGCGGCCGUGAGGACGAGGAAGAGAAGGAAGAAGGGAGGCCCCAUCGAAGGCUGCCCGGAGAAACCCUAGGCAAGGAAUUCUGGAAGCUUCGCCGACGCAGUAUACUGGAGGCAGCAGUGCAAGGGCGCGGAAGGUGGAGGGGAGCAGGGCAGCGGGCGCGCGGCGGCACCACGGUCCACGGCGAGCGGGUUGUCUCGCCCUGACGCCCUCCUCAGCGUGCCCGUUGCUUUGAGAUUGGUG